CUCUUCCGAUGGGUCCAAAGUUCUCCUAAAACAGGCAAGAUGUUUUCUCACUCAAUUAGAAAGGUGUUUCAAGAACCAUCUACUAAGUGUAUAUGACAUGCCAAGUUUGUUCUAGCAGUGAGAAUACAACAGGGGACAAACAAGUCUUUGCCCUCAUGAAGCUGAAAAAUUAGCAAAGACCAACCGAUCGAUUAACAGCCAAUGCUAAAAUACGCCGUGUAGCGAUAAGAACUUGGAAGACAAAUAAAGCAGGGUGAGGGCACUAGGGAUGGCACGUGAAAACACGACUCUUAGGCAGAAAGCAGAAUGAACAGCGGGAGUAAGCACCCGGAGCGUCGGCAAGACGAGAGGCUGUGGGCAGUGGAGAGGCCAAGUGCCAUGACGAAAUGCCAGGACACGGCUGGAAAAGAAGGGUGGAAAGAAGGGGUACUGGACUGAGUACUGAAGAGGGACUUCCACUGUUAUUCUACAUGUUAUCGGAUUGUUUGAAUUUCUUCUCGAUUGACGCACCAUGGAAGCGCCUGUCUGCUCCGACUUGGAUGGGACCUUUAGACGAUUAUUUAAACAUAUAUGAAGACAGAAAAACCACGAAACCCACAGGACAGCCAAUCUCCUAAAGCCGUAGACCAUGCCUUUGAGAAACAGUGAAACAUCAGUCAACGUGGUACAUUUGUACGUGGAUAGAGAAAGUCUGGAAUAAAUUAGCAGCAUCAAUAACUUCUGGCA
RNAcentral lists this long non-coding RNA (726 nucleotides) under Felis catus (domestic cat). RNAcentral's name for it is "lncRNA (ENSFCAG00000041025.2)". The record is from RNAcentral. Lineage: Eukaryota; Metazoa; Chordata; Mammalia; Carnivora; Felidae.